GGCAACCCAUAGAAGGAGCCAUCAACGAGAGUUUGCAAAUUUCUUUAUCCCUCCUCUUUUCUUUUCGGAUUGCUCUUAGUUUUCUUACAUUGAGGACAAUGUUGAUUUUAAGUGUGGGGUGGAUGUCAUUACUCGUUGAUUUGCUAUGCUUUGAUAUGAUUUGAGUUGUUUUUAAUUUUUAGGAUUAAUUUUGAAUUUUUCGGAUUACAACUUUGUUUCUUUAUUUUGUGUUUUGCUUUUAUUUUGUUGAGUCUUAGGUGCCUUUUAACGUAUCUAGGAUGAAUAUAUGAUCUUUGAUUGAUUAGUUAUUGAGAUGAGCAUGAUUUCAAAUAUUUGAGCUUAUAUGUUAUUUGAUGGUUAAUAGAUAUGUUGCAAUUGUACGAACUUGUAGUAGAUGAGGACCAUUGAAACUUAGGUACAGAAUGAGCAUGUUCCUUGCUUGUUUGAUUUCAUAUUACCUUUGUGAGAUUUUUGAGCCAUAUAUGUGCCUAUUCUUUGGAGAGUUUACUCUAUCUAUUCUUUAUUAUAUAUGACCUCAUUAUACAUUACUUGAUCGAUUUAUAUGCCAUAGAGAUUGAAUGAACUAGAGAUCGCUAGAACUUACUUAUGAAACUUUCAAAACUUUUAUCAUAACUUACUUUGAUUUUGAAUAUGAUUGUGGAUCUUUCUUAGGACUAUCACCACUUUAUCUAGAUAGCCAUAUAUCCCUAUUUUGAGCCAUGUUUGGGACCCCUUAGUCUAAACCCCCUAGAGCCUACGUUAUGUCUUUCUUGUUCACCUAAAUUAUCCCUUGCCUAGUAUAGAAUUCCUCUACCUUGUCUCGAGCUUGGCAGAGCUAUCUUUUUGUGGUGAUUUGAGGUGAUGAUUCAAUACAAGUGUGGGGUUGUUCUAAGGAGUUUGGUGCCGAGAUACACAUGAGAAAAGAAAAACAAUUGCUCUCGUGAAAAAAAAAAAAAAAAGUUUCGAAUUGAUUUUGAUAAAGAUAUCUCGGCCUAGAUGUAGUUUUUGUGAAUUUGGAGUUGUGAUUUGUUUGUUGAAGGCUCAAUAUGUUAUACUUUUAGCCUUUGUUCGUUUUCACAAUGUUUAAAGUGAAGGAUGGGUCCAACAUGAUGAUAUUUGGCCCUUGAUGGUGUUUGAUGACAUAA
Molecule: long non-coding RNA, 1145 nt
Filed under: Fragaria vesca (wild strawberry)
Lineage: Eukaryota; Viridiplantae; Streptophyta; Magnoliopsida; Rosales; Rosaceae
Description: long non-coding RNA (FVES_LNC004937)
Source: RNAcentral